AUUCUAUUUACUUUAGUGAAUUGAGUAAUCGAAUAAAGAGUUCUUAGUGGGCCAUUUUUGGUAAGCAGAACUGGCGAUGUGGGAUGAACCAGACGUUGAGAUAAAGUGCCAAAGAUUUCGCUCAUCAGACACCAUAAAAGGUGUUAAUUCAUAUCGACAGUAGGACGGUGGCCAUGGAAGUCGGAAUCCGCUAAGGAGUGUGUAACAACUCACCUUACCGAAUGAAUUAGCCCUGAAAAUGGAUGGCGCUUAAGCGAUACACUUAUACUCAACCCAUAAAUAAUUUGUGCAGUAUUUAUGGAGUAGGAGGGCGUAAAGAUUGAUUAGAAGCUUUUACUGUGAGGUAUAGUGAAUCUUUCUUUAGUGCAGAUCUUGGUGGUAGUAGCAAAUAUUCAAUAGAGAACAUUGUAAGACUGAAGUGGAG
This 424-nucleotide ribosomal RNA is filed under the name uncultured eukaryote. Its description in RNAcentral is "eukaryotic LSU rRNA". It matches the Rfam family "Eukaryotic large subunit ribosomal RNA", at positions 1081 to 1501 of the family's 3401-position model. The record is from RNAcentral.